ACUCCUACGGGAGGCAGCAGUGGGGAAUAUUGCACAAUGGGCGCAAGCCUGAUGCAGCAACGCCGCGUGCGGGAUGACGGCCUUCGGGUUGUAAACCGCUUUCAGUAGGGACGAAGGGUGACUGACGGUACCUACAGAAGAAGGACCGGCUAACUACGUGCCAGCAGCCGCGGUAAU
This 177-nucleotide ribosomal RNA is filed under the name uncultured bacterium. Its description in RNAcentral is "partial 16S ribosomal RNA". It matches the Rfam family "Bacterial small subunit ribosomal RNA", at positions 335 to 524 of the family's 1533-position model. The record is from RNAcentral.